GGGACGUGAGGGACAGCGAGCGCCCUUCCGGGAAAGUCUGGCUGGGCUGUGCCUUGCCUGCCCUACGUCUACAGCCGGGGAGCCCGGCCAGGAGGGAGGAGGGGACUGCGGGGCUCCCCUCUAGCUGCUGGGGCUCGGGGGGGCUCCGGCAGCCUCUCG
Molecule: long non-coding RNA, 159 nt
Organism: Oxyura jamaicensis (ruddy duck)
Lineage: Eukaryota; Metazoa; Chordata; Aves; Anseriformes; Anatidae
Exons: 3
Source: RefSeq, a predicted model, not a curated record